UCUGUGUGUGUGUAUGUGUGUGUGUGUAUGGACAUAGCAGUCUGUGUGUGUGUGUAUGUGUAUGGACUCAGCAGUCUGUCUGUGUGUAUGGACUCAGCAGUAUGUGUGUGUAUGGACUCAGCAGUCUGUGUGUGUGUGUGUGUGUGUGUGUGUAUGGACUCAGCUGUGUGUCUGUAUGAAUUUAGCAGUCUGUGUGUAUAUGGACUCAGCAGUCUGUGUGUGUGUAUGGACUCAACAGUCUGUGUCUGUAUGGACUCAGCAGUCUGUGUC
Molecule: non-coding RNA, 270 nt
Organism: Pelobates cultripes (western spadefoot toad)
Lineage: Eukaryota; Metazoa; Chordata; Amphibia; Anura; Pelobatidae
Source: the annotation of a GenBank genome assembly